UCGGGCUCCCGGGGGACCUCUGUCAGCAGGGAAGCAAACAGUCUCAACACAGAACAAACAGAAGCAAACGCGAACAGCGUCUCUGUGUCCACACGAUACUGCAGAUCUCAGACAUCUAAGUUCUCCAAAGGCUUUAACUUUAUAAGUCAGACACACUCCUGUUCUCUUAAUUAGGAGAAAACACUGAAAAGGCAAGAAAGAAAACAACGUUCUCCAAAUCCAGCAGCAAGUCAACAGGAAACAAAACGUCCCCUCCCGGAGUCCAGGACAGUCGACAGGCCACGCUCCCUCGGUUCCAGAGAUCUGAAAAGCGUAACGCUGUCUCAGUGAGAGCGAUUAGUUUUAAAUCUACCUAAUUACUUAGGUGGUCACACACUGCAGAGUUUCGUUUGUAAUAAAUCAGGGAUUCACCGAAGGGCGAUCCAGGACUGCGACAUCUCCCCCCACAGAUCAGCAAACGUCCCUGUUCCCAGCUGGGCAUCACUGUAGGGAAGUCACUGCACACACAGAAAGGCCACCGGAGCGCACUCGGCUGGGGACCACGGGAGGAGAAUGCACUCGGGAGCGCUGGACCUUCAGGGCCAGCGACCCACGGCUUGGAUGGCGGGCGGAAGCCAGUCCUCCCACCGUGAGACUGGGAGCGGGCAGGUAUGUGAAUGCACAGUGAGGUCUGGGGAGCAUGGGGUGCUCCCUGGCCUCUCAGGGUCUGUCCGCAGACUGGCCUCAGGCAUCCAGCGCAAAUGUCCUCUCUCCUUCGUGAGAGCUCCUCCCGCAUGGCGACCCAGAGCACACCAAGGUUCACAGCAGAGGGUUAUGGAGCCCAAGUGCCAUCUUGGACCAUCAGCCCCUCACACGUCCUGCAAGAACCUAACGGAACAGAGGGAGGCUCCUGGGAGGCCUUGUCAUCGGGCUGUGUGGAGCCAGCUUCUGCGUCCGCGCUUCCAGCCCAGCCGAGAGCCCCGCGGGAGGUGUCCCGUGCCCGUCCUCGUGUCUGCAGCGGGCGCUCCUUCGUCUCUGCUGGGCUGCCAGCUGUCAACACAGGUGCCCGGCGGUGGCAAGCACGCUGGCCCCCGCGACACUCCCACCUCCCUCCUCAGGGGUCUGAAGGCGACAGGGACGUGGGAGAGUCGCGUCCAGGCACAAGCGCGGAAGGACUGAGUCCAGGGAGAGGCGGCUCGGGGCGCGUUUACAGCAGCCCCGCCCUGUGCUGGGUGAGAACACACAGGGCGGGGAGGGGGGGGGGUCAACGGGCAAGUCUCCGCCCCGCCUUCACUCCUGCCCAUCCCUCUCCAGCCCGAGAAAUGGCGUCACAGCUGGGGGUUCUUCCCCCAGUUCCUCCCUCUCCGACGAUGGAACAGCCCCUCAUCACGUCAGUAGCCGCCAGUGCCAAGCGCCUACUGUGUGCAGGGCAGCAGCACUGCUCCCCUGUCUUGUCUCAUCCGAGCCUGACAUCAGGGCCACGAGGUGGGCACCCUCAUGAUGCCCACCCUUCAGACGAGAAGAGUGAGGCUGAGAGCCAUACUGGGCAGUUAAGUGCCGGGAGAGUACAGACCACAACCCGAGUGUGAACUGGCGCCACUGCAGUGCCCACUACGGGGAGACCGGCAGCAGCCUCCUGGGGCCGCAGGAGUCGGGGGGACCCUCGGGGGCAGGGAUUUCCCACCACUAAAAUGGAGGAACGAGCAGGAGGGGGUUGGAGGAAAAGAGCUUGUUAAAAAACUUGUAUUAAACUGUUGGUGUCCAUCUGACGUCACUGUAUUUAUUUUUCUAUUAAGAUAGUUCCCUGGAGUAUGUGGACUGCGCGGAUCCAGUCACUUUUAUCUGCUCAGACGUGGCUUGGUAGACUUCGGUUUCCUGUACCAAACAGCAAGCACGAGCGCUUAGACGAACUGAACUUGGGGAUGUGCAGCACCCUCUCUGACAAGCUGCAGCGGCUGGUGGACGCGGCCCGUGUGACGUGUUCUCAGGGCAAAUACUUGGCACCUCUGAACAGAGCCAUGCACCCGCUGUGCCUUCUCUGGGAGAACCUGAGCCCGGAUCCGGGAGCAGCUGCGGGGAUGGAGGGCUCCAUCUGCCCCAGAGGGUGCCUUUUGCUGCAGAAGGAGGGCCGGGACCAGGGACCACCUGCCAGGUAUGUAUUCAGCCUCCAGGCUGACUGACUAGAAGCUGGGGUGGAACCACCAGCGUCCCCGAGGCCCCUGGUCUUGCUGGCGGAGCAGGAGUCCUGACCAUGUCCCUCCCCACGGAGGGGCCAUGUGGGCCCUGGGAGGUGGGCCACCUGGGGAAGUUCCAUGGUGGGAGUGGAGCAGGGGGACAAAGGUGAGAGGAGCUGCCAGGCGGAUGCAACGGUCGUGGUCUGGGAGCACCCGCUCUGGUCGCAUCAGGGCGCUCACGCCUGUCGACAGAAUCCACUGCUGGAGCCACAGAGGCCCUUGUCCCGAGGCUCUGACACGAACGUGUAA
Camelus dromedarius (Arabian camel) is the source of this 2462-nucleotide long non-coding RNA. RefSeq lists it as uncharacterized. The record is from RefSeq and is a predicted model, not a curated record. The transcript is spliced from 3 exons. NCBI's taxonomy places the organism in Eukaryota, Metazoa, Chordata, Mammalia, Artiodactyla, Camelidae.